This 480-nucleotide ribosomal RNA is filed under the name uncultured delta proteobacterium. RNAcentral describes it as "bacterial SSU rRNA". It matches the Rfam family "Bacterial small subunit ribosomal RNA", at positions 37 to 523 of the family's 1533-position model. Lineage: Bacteria; Deltaproteobacteria. The record is from RNAcentral.
AGUGAACGCAUGGCGGCGUGCUUAACACAUGCAAGUCGCACGAGAAAGGACUUCGGUCUGAGUAAAGUGGCGCACGGGUGAGUAACACGUGAAUAACGUACCUCCGGAUGGGGAAUAACGUUCCGAAAGGAGCGCUAAUACCGCAUAAGACCACGUCAUCACAAGAUGAUGAGGCCAAAGCAGCAAUGCGUCUGGAGAUCGGUUCGCGUCCCAUUAGGUAGUUGGCGGGGUAAUGGCCCACCAAGCCAAAGAUGGGUAGCUGGUCUGAGAGGAUGAUCAGCCACAUUGGGACUGAGACACGGCCCAAACUCCUACGGGAGGCAGCAGUGGGGAAUCUUGCGCAAUGGGCGAAAGCCUGACGCAGCAACGCCGCGUGAGUGAUGAAGGCCCUCGGGUCGUAAAGCUCUGUCAGAAGGGAAGAAUUAAUGACGGUACCUUCAAAGGAAGCACCGGCUAACUCCGUGCCAGCAGCCGCGGUAA